This is a long non-coding RNA of Bubalus bubalis (water buffalo), 664 nucleotides long. RefSeq lists it as uncharacterized. The transcript is spliced from 3 exons. NCBI's taxonomy places the organism in Eukaryota, Metazoa, Chordata, Mammalia, Artiodactyla, Bovidae. The record is from RefSeq and is a predicted model, not a curated record.
GUUCUGACCUAUAGAAUUCCAGGGACUGUCUAGUUCCCGGGGUCGCAAAGAGUGGGACAGGACUGAGCGACUUGCACUUUCACUUCACACUGUAAGCAGACACAUCUGGUAACGUCUUUGGGUCCCAGAAGAAGAACCCUGAUUUUAUUGGGAUGGCAGUCAGCCAGCUAAAAGCUCUCAGCUUCCUGAAGUCCCUGUGACAGCCAGGAGCGGCCAUGUGAUCCAGUGUGGAUACGAGCUAGAGAGACAAUGGCCAUCUUGUAACCACGACCAACCGUGAGGACAAGAAGGCCAAGUGAAGAAACAGGAAAGAACCUGGGCCCCUCGUGGCAUCAUCGAGGCACCCCAUCAGCCCAAGACGCUUACUGCUGGGCUUAGUAACAGGAGAUGAUAGAAACUUACCAGUGGUGAGAUUCGUGUUACUUGCAGCUGAAUGCAUGCCUGCUGGAUCCACUCCCCUGCCUCUGGAUUUCUAAACUCAUGAGAAAAUACAUUUCCUUAAUGAUUAAGCAUUUUGCACUGGGUUUCCUGUCCUUGCAGUUGAAUGCAUCCUAGAGUAUCCUGCAUUUUGCAGUGAGGUGACUUCUGAUAAAUGAGAUAUGCCUGAUCUUGGACUUGACCGACAUGGAUAGGGGGGCAGGGAUCCCUCCCACGCCUGCUGGAG